This 468-nucleotide ribosomal RNA is filed under the name uncultured bacterium. Its description in RNAcentral is "partial 16S ribosomal RNA". It matches the Rfam family "Bacterial small subunit ribosomal RNA", at positions 28 to 507 of the family's 1533-position model. The record is from RNAcentral.
GGCGAACGCUGGCGGCGUGCUUAACACAUGCAAGUCGAACGGAAAGGCACUGCUAUUGUGGGGUGAUCGAGUGGCGAACGGGUGCGUAACACGUGAGUAACCUGCCCUUGACUUUGGGAUAACUUCAGGAAACUGAGCUUAAUCCAGGACCGCAUACCCCCUACCAGGGAGGGGGUGGGAAAGUCUGGGCGGUUGUGGUUGGAUGAGCGGCUGUCGGGCUAGUUGGUGGGGGAGGGGCUUACCAAGCGAUGGACGGGUAGCCGGCCUGAGAGGGUGACCGGCGACAUUGGGACUGAGAGACGGCCCAGACUCGAACGUGAGGCAGCAGUGGGGAAUAUUGCACAAUGGGCGGAAGCCGGAUGCAGAAACGCCGCGGUCGUGAUGACGGCCUUCGGGUUGUAAACCGCUUUCGCCUGUGACGAAGCGGUAGUGACGGUAAUGAGUAAAGAAGCACCGGCUAACUACGUG